AACGAACGCUGGUGGCGUGCUUAACACAUGCAAGUCGAACGAGAAAGCCUUUCGGGGUGAUUAUAGUGGCGCACGGGUGAGUAAUACAUAGGAACGUACCUAUAGGUGGGGAAUAACCAUUGGAAACGAUGGCUAAUACCGCAUGAUGUCGCAAGACCAAAGAGGGCCUCUUCUUGAAAGCUCUCGCCUGUAGAUCGGCUUAUGUCCCAUUAGCUUGUUGGUGAGGUAAAGGCUCACCAAGGCGACGAUGGGUAGCUGGUCUGAGAGGAUGAUCAGCCACACUGGAACUGAGACACGGUCCAG
RNAcentral lists this ribosomal RNA (303 nucleotides) under uncultured bacterium. RNAcentral describes it as "bacterial SSU rRNA". It matches the Rfam family "Bacterial small subunit ribosomal RNA", at positions 29 to 334 of the family's 1533-position model. The record is from RNAcentral.